ACGUCUGGAGUAAUGGCGAAGCAACACCUUAACUUUUACUUCUGCAAUUCUAUUUUUUUAAGAAAAUUAUACAGUCAAACUUGUAUUAAGCGGACACCCUCGGCGAACGGACUAGCGUCCGCUUAAUGGAGGUGUCCGUUUAACAGAGGUACUCGUCACCAAGCCUCUCUCCGUUGAAAAUAACAUAAAUGGUAAGAUCAACAACUAAACGGUGCAGAUAAGGUUGUAGAUGAGUGUAGGGGAAAUGCUGAGGCUAAAAAAUAGUUAUAGGGGAAAUGAAUUUGUCCAAAAAACAUCAAACACAAAAUUAACAAUGAGUGCUGCCACAUGUAGGCGAACUACUCCAAGUUAUUUUUGUUUCAACUAUCUAUAUGUUUCCUCUUCAACAAUGUACAAAUGUUCAUUUUCAAUGUCAGAUCAAUAUCAAAUUUCAGGGACAUUCUUUUCAAAAUGUAAAAACUAAAGAUUUCGAUAAAAUGAAAGCUAUGAAAUAAAAUGUUCCGUUUCACCUUUGCACGAAGAAUGAAACUGAUAUACAGGCACUACAAGUCGUGAUCGAUGAUGAAAGAAUUGCAUAAUUCCAAUUUACUUCUGUUCAUUUCCCAUGCCUUUUGUUAACAAAUCACAUUUAACUUUUUACACGCGCGCGUCCAGUUCCCUUCUUAGGCCUGGAAACUACGUAUUUCCCCGGUCAUUGAGACAAAACGUUCCCUCUUUAAGUCUAGACGCAAUCAAAAGAGCUGAAAUAUCUUCAAUUUCACUAAGCGACGCACAUUUAAACGAAACACACAUUCAUUUAAUCUGGCUUUAAAGUAUUCAGCAUCAGCACAAUUAACGGAGAUUAAUUACACAUAUUUGGGAAGAGUUUUGUAGCUGAGCGAAGGGGAAAUUAGCUUAAGUCAACAAAAGAAUCAAAGUCUAAAUUAACAUAGUCAAAUACCGGUGGAGAUUUUUACCCAUUGAGAGUUAUAUGAAACACAUGAAUAUUGAAUACAUAAUUUCAUUUUGGAGUAGCCAUUGGGAGGAAAGAAGAUGUUGAUGGGUGUGAGAGUACAUAAAUGAAGUAUAUGUUACCAAAAGGUACACCAUCAAGAAGCCUAGCACUCAUCAGUUCGCGAGGAAAACGUUAGGAAAACUAACACGAACAAUUCGAGAUGAAUACAUCGCUACUGGCAUCGUUCUUGUUGAUAUUUUAUCCUUUGUCUGUUGAUUCAGCAUCUUGAUUCAAAGAUGAACCUUCAUCAGUGGAAGAAACACUCAAAAGAAUAAUUGACCAAAAUUACGCUUUCCUCCUUGCUGGACAGCCUCAAAAGGCGUUGAAAUUCUACACUCGUGACUGUGUAUUGAUUGGGCAAGGUGCAGAGCCAGUUGUAGGCAAAGCGGCAUUAUGAAAGUAUUUCAAAGCAACAACAUCAGGGCCACAAACUGUUAGCUGGAACGGCGUUCACAUUGAUGAAAUUUUUGAUAAAGAAAACAUCGUGACUCUUAGAUACACUCUGACACCACAUGCAAAGGAUGGUGGAGUCUUUCUUCAUUCUCGAGAAAUCAUCGUUUGGAAAAAGAUCAAGGGUAAAUACUUGAUUCACAAUCUUAUUUCAAAUGUGCUAGAGAACCUCUGUCCUUCGACGUCAUGAUUGGAGUAGAGAAGAUACUACAUGUAUAUAUCUAUUAUGUCAGAAUUUCGCAAAUAAAAUGAGCCAUAAAAACAA
Long non-coding RNA from Xenia sp. Carnegie-2017, 1709 nucleotides. RefSeq lists it as uncharacterized. The record is from RefSeq and is a predicted model, not a curated record. The transcript has 4 exons. Lineage: Eukaryota; Metazoa; Cnidaria; Anthozoa; Malacalcyonacea; Xeniidae.